CUCGAAGCAUAAGCCUGCAUGUCUAAUUAUAAACUGCUUAUACUGUGAAACUGCGAAUGGCUCAUUAAAUCAGUUAUAGUUUAUUUGGUGGUACCUUACUACUCGGAUAACCGUAGUAAUUCUAGAGCUAAUACGUGCGUAAAUCCCGACUUCUGGAAGGGACGUAUAUAUUAGAUAAAAGGCCGACCGAGCCUUGCUCGACCCGCGGUGAAUCAUGAUAUCUUCACGAAGCGCAUGGCCCUUGUGCCGGCGCUGUUUCAUUCAAAUUUCUGCCCUAUCAACUUUUCAUGGGUAGGGAAAAAAGGCCUACCCUGGGUGGGAAACGGGGUGACGGAGGAUUAAGGGUUCCAUUCCCGGAAAGGGACCCUGAAAACCGGCUCC
RNAcentral lists this ribosomal RNA (381 nucleotides) under Tetradesmus sp. LT1. Its description in RNAcentral is "SSU rRNA". It matches the Rfam family "Eukaryotic small subunit ribosomal RNA", at positions 36 to 410 of the family's 1831-position model. Lineage: Eukaryota; Viridiplantae; Chlorophyta; Chlorophyceae; Sphaeropleales; Scenedesmaceae. The record is from RNAcentral.